GCGCGUCGCCGUCCCACACAGCCGCCGGAGGCGGCAGCGGCAGCGCGCCGGCCGCCGGCCUCCAUGCAGCCUGGGUCCUCACACGGUGACGAAGCGACGCGCACGAGCAACGUUGCACGCCGUCCGGUGCUCGAUACUAUGGACAAGUUUCUUCUCAAAAGAAAUGCACCAUCACAGCCAGAAGACAUAAAUUGGGAAGAGGAGAUUCAGUAUGAUCAGGGCAAUCGCCUCAAUGAUGAAAGUUUGAGUGAUGAUAUUAUUUGUUAUGUGGAGAAGGAAGAAAUGAAAAGGGCCACCAAUGCUCAAGUGGUUGAGUAUUUCAUGGCCUGGAGGAAUAGAAACAAGUGGUUGAGUAUUUCAUGGCCUGGAGGAAUAGAAACAUACUAAGGUAAUUUUCAAUUUUUAGCAAUCUAAGUACUUUCAUUUGGGCUACAUUUCAAGUAGUUAUAUCCCUUGUUUUAUCAUUAUAGUAAACAAUUUGAUGGCUA
This is a long non-coding RNA of Triticum aestivum (bread wheat), 488 nucleotides long. RefSeq lists it as uncharacterized. The record is from RefSeq and is a predicted model, not a curated record. Lineage: Eukaryota; Viridiplantae; Streptophyta; Magnoliopsida; Poales; Poaceae. The transcript is spliced from 2 exons.